Cygnus atratus (black swan) is the source of this 463-nucleotide long non-coding RNA. RefSeq lists it as uncharacterized. The transcript has 3 exons. The record is from RefSeq and is a predicted model, not a curated record. NCBI's taxonomy places the organism in Eukaryota, Metazoa, Chordata, Aves, Anseriformes, Anatidae.
CACAGUUUUAUCUGAAGUUUUCUGAACCUGGAGAAUUGGGAUUUGCCAUCAGACAACCAGGCCUACAUCAGAAUGCAACUGCAGGGCAUUUUGAAAAGCGCACUCUACAAGGAAGAUUCACUACUCGGACACCUCAGAAUUUCUGCCCAGCAGAGACUGCUUUAAAGGAUGACUUCACUGAACGACUGACAAAUUUGGAUGUGUCAAACAGAGAUGAAGAUACAUGGGUUUUGGAUUGCAGAUUGGGGCAGUCAAGCCCAUUUGCUCAUUCAUGUGAGAAAGAUAAGAUCAACAGAAAUGUGUUGCAUUUGAGCCUGGAACUGAACGUAGAAUCAUAGAAUCAUCCACGUUGGAAAAGACCUUCAAGAUCACCAAGUCCAACCAAGAACCUCACUUCCAUCACUAAACCACGUUCAUUAGUGUCAUGUACACGUGUCUCUUAAAUACCUCUGGGGAUGGGGAU